AACCUUUAGCUAAAUAAAUAUUAAAGGCAACGCCUGCCCAGUGAACAAUUAAACGGCCGCGGUACCCUAACCGUGCAAAGGUAGCAUAAUCAUUUGUCUACUAAUUAUAGACCUGUAUGAAAGGCAAAAUGAGGAUCUAACUGUCUCUUAUAAUAAAUCAAUUAAACUGAUCUCCUAGUAAAAAAGCUAAGAUACCAACAUAAGACCAGAAGACCCUGUGAAGCUUAAACUAAACUAUUAAACCAAAUAAUAGCUACUUUCGGUUGGGGCGACCUUGGAAAAAAAAAGAACUUCCAAACUAAAUCAUUAAGAACUACCCCAGGCCAACAAGCCAACAAACGACCCAGCAUAGCUGACAAAUGAACCAAGUUACUCCAGGGAUAACAGCGCAAUCUUCUUCAAGAGCCCAUAUCAAAAAGAAGGUUUACGACCUCGAUGUUGGAUCAGGACAUCCUAAUGGUGCAGCCGCUAUUAAGGGUUCGUUUGUUCAACGAUUAAUAGUCCU
RNAcentral lists this ribosomal RNA (505 nucleotides) under Boiga drapiezii. RNAcentral describes it as "partial 16S ribosomal RNA". It matches the Rfam family "Bacterial large subunit ribosomal RNA", at positions 1816 to 2597 of the family's 2925-position model. Lineage: Eukaryota; Metazoa; Chordata; Lepidosauria; Squamata; Colubridae. The record is from RNAcentral.